RNAcentral lists this ribosomal RNA (385 nucleotides) under uncultured bacterium. Its description in RNAcentral is "bacterial SSU rRNA". It matches the Rfam family "Bacterial small subunit ribosomal RNA", at positions 30 to 417 of the family's 1533-position model. The record is from RNAcentral.
AUUGAACGCUGGCGGCAUGCUUUACACAUGCAAGUCGAACGGACUUAGGUGCUUGCACCUAGGUUAGUGGCGAACGGGUGAGUAAUGCAUCGGAACGUACCGUGUAAUGGGGGAUAACGUAGCGAAAGUUGUGCUAAUACCGCAUACGAUCUACGGAUGAAAGCAGGGGAUCGCAAGACCUUGCGUUAUACGAGCGGCCGAUGUCGGAUUAGCUAGUUGGUAGGGUAAAGGCCUACCAAGGCAACGAUCCGUAGCGGGUCUGAGAGGAUGAUCCGCCACACUGGGACUGAGACACGGCCCAGACUCCUACGGGAGGCAGCAGUGGGGAAUUUUGGACAAUGGGCGCAAGCCUGAUCCAGCCAUGCCGCGUGAGUGAAGAAGGCCU